GUCUACGGCCAUGCCACCCUGAAUGUGCCCUGUCUAGUCUGAUCUCGGAAGUUGAACAGAAUCGGGCCUGGUUAGUACUUGGAUGUGAGACCACCUAGGAAUAUCAAGUGCUGAGAAA
RNAcentral lists this ribosomal RNA (118 nucleotides) under Microtus ochrogaster (prairie vole). The record is from RNAcentral. Lineage: Eukaryota; Metazoa; Chordata; Mammalia; Rodentia; Cricetidae.